GGUCAAAUCACGCUGAAAACACCGGUUCUUGUUCGAUCACCGAAGUUAAGCAUCGUAGAGCCAGGUCAGUACUUAGAUGGUGGACAUCUUG
Non-coding RNA from Acanthosepion pharaonis, 91 nucleotides. Lineage: Eukaryota; Metazoa; Mollusca; Cephalopoda; Sepiida; Sepiidae. The record is from the annotation of a GenBank genome assembly.